ACUCCUACGGGAGGCAGCAGUGGGGAAUAUUGCACAAUGGGCGCAAGCCUGAUGCAGCCAUGCCGCGUGUGUGAAGAAGGCCUUCGGGUUGUAAAGUACUUUCAGCAGUGAGGAAGGCGGAGUCGUUAAUAGCGGCCUCGUUUGACGUUAGCUGCAGAAGAAGCACCGGCUAACUCCGUGCCAGCAGCCGCGGUAAUACGGAGGGUGCGAGCGUUAAUCGGAAUUACUGGGCGUAAAGCGCAUGCAGGUGGUUUGUUAAGUCAGAUGUGAAAGCCCGGGGCUCAACCUCGGAAUUGCAUUUGAAACUGGCAGACUAGAGUACUGUAGAGGGGGGUAGAAUUUCAGGUGUAGCGGUGAAAUGCGUAGAGAUCUGAAGGAAUACCGGUGGCGAAGGCGGCCCCCUGGACAGAUACUGACACUCAGAUGCGAAAGCGUGGGGAGCAAACAGGAUUAGAUACCCUGGUAGGAUAGCG
RNAcentral lists this ribosomal RNA (473 nucleotides) under uncultured bacterium. RNAcentral describes it as "bacterial SSU rRNA". It matches the Rfam family "Bacterial small subunit ribosomal RNA", at positions 335 to 799 of the family's 1533-position model. The record is from RNAcentral.